RNAcentral lists this ribosomal RNA (253 nucleotides) under uncultured bacterium. Its description in RNAcentral is "partial 16S ribosomal RNA". It matches the Rfam family "Bacterial small subunit ribosomal RNA", at positions 524 to 776 of the family's 1533-position model. The record is from RNAcentral.
UACGUAGGGGGCGAGCGUUGUCCGGAUUUAUUGGGCGUAAAGAGCUCGUAGGCGGCUGUUCGAGUCGGGUGUGAAAUCCUGAGGCUUAACCUUGGGUCUGCAUCCGAUACUGGGCGGCUUGAGUCUGGUAGGGGGAUCUGGAAUUCCUGGUGUAGCGGUGGAAUGCGCAGAUAUCAGGAGGAACACCGGUGGCGAAGGCGGGAUCCUGGGCCAGUACUGACGCUGAGGAGCGAAAGCGUGGGGAGCAAACAGG